RNAcentral lists this transfer RNA (65 nucleotides) under Fannia scalaris. RNAcentral's name for it is "tRNA-Gly". Lineage: Eukaryota; Metazoa; Arthropoda; Insecta; Diptera; Fanniidae. The record is from RNAcentral.
AUUUAUAUAGUAUAAAAAGUAUAUUUGAUUUCCAAUUAAAUGGUUUAUUAUUAAUAAUAUAAAUA